CCUUUAAUUCUGGUCCUCGAAACUCAGAAAGAAGUCAUCUCUUCAUGGGCUUCUCCUUUAGUUUUAGGAAACGACCAGUCUCCAGUGUAGGUGGAAUCUGCCGGCCCUUCCUCCUGCACACCAGUUC
This is a non-coding RNA of Vicugna pacos (alpaca), 127 nucleotides long. NCBI's taxonomy places the organism in Eukaryota, Metazoa, Chordata, Mammalia, Artiodactyla, Camelidae. The record is from RefSeq and is a predicted model, not a curated record.